UAGAAAUAUAGUAUAUGACAAUGAUAAAAAAGGUGGACUGUAGGUAAAUGAGAUUAUACUAUUUUAAGAAUCCCAAAUUAUGUGUGAAUACUAUAUUAUUUCAAGAUGAAGUAUGAUAAGUUAAGGAUACAUAUUGUGACUCCUAAAGCAAUUACUAAAACAAAAAGUAUAAAGAGGUAUAAUUAAAAAACCAAUAGAGUCCCUCGCGUAGGGCCCCACGGCGCCUGCGGCGCGCUGCGCGGCCGGCCUAGGCGCCCGGGUGCUGGGUGUGUAGCCUCUUUGCCUCAUUGUCCGCACCAUGAAGAUCUGGACUUCGGAGCAUGUCUUUGACCACCUAUGGGAAACUGUCACCACGGCUGCAAUGCAGAAACACCCAAACCCUAUGAACCCGAGUGUGGUGGGAGUUGAUGUGUUGGACAGACAUGUAGAUCCCUCCGGGAAGUUGCACAGCCAUAGACUUCUGAGCACAGAGUGGGGACUGCCUUCCAUUGUGAAGUCUCUUUUUGGUGCAGCAAGAACCAAAACAUAUGUGCAAGAACAUUCUGUAGUUGAUCCUGUAGAGAAAACAAUGGAACUUAAAUCUACUCAUACUUCAUUUACAAAUAUGGUUUCAGUAAAUAAGAGACUUAUGUACAAACCACAUCCCCAGGACCCAGAAAAAACUUUUUUGACUCAAGAAGCCAUAAUCACUGUGAAAGGAGUUAGCCUUAGCAGUUACCUUGAAGGACUGAUGGCAAGUACCAUAUCUUCAAAUGCUCAUAAAGGCCGAGAAGCAAUGGAAUGGGUAAUACGUAAAUUAAAUGCCGAGAUUGAAGAACUGACAGCUUCAGCAAGAGGAAGCAUAAGGACUCCAAUGGCAGCAGCAGCAUUUUUAGAAAAACGAUAAUACAAGUUGGUAGAUAACGUUGGGUGCCCCAGGUCUCUCCAAGCUGGCAAUAUUUAUUUGUUAUUUAAAAAAUACAACUAUAUUUUAGGUAGAAUUUUUCUUUUUUUAAUAAGCUGAUUUAAGGCUAUGCGACUUUUGAUCAAAACAGAGCUACAGGGCUUCUAAAUAAAAGGGAUCAUCUGAAAUUAGUGUUGUUUGAAAUGGCUAAUUUUGAGGUUUCCAGUGUUUAUAUGAAAAUUUAAGUUUUCUUAAAAGUACUUUGAAAUUGGUAUUGACAUUGACUCUCCUUAAGGUAGAAUUUGAAAGCUUUUCAUACAUUGGAACUCUACCUGGCUUUGGACCAACCCCAGAACAAAGCAGAGCUUGCUCUCCUGCUGUAACUUCAACAGCUUGCAUGAAAGAACUCACUUUAAAAGGAGAAAUUAUAUACUUUUAAAAGAUAUUAAUUUGUAUAAAAUAACUUGCUCUGCUAUAAACCACCUUUAAAAACCAGUGUUUUGGUUUUGUACUUAAAUAUUUUUGGAGUGAAAAUUACCUCUAAAGUAAUAUAUGACUCCAACAAAAACAAAAUUUUAUUGUAUCAAAGAAAAAAAAAACCAAUAGAGAAAAUGGAAUACUAAAAAGUACUCAAUUAAUUUAAGACAGGAAAGGAUGCACAAAAGAAUGAAGAACAGAGGAAAUGGACAGAAAACGAGUGGCAAGAUGGUAGAAUUAAAGCAAAUUAUAUCAAUAAUUUUAUUUAAUAAAUAGACUAAACACUCCAAUUAAAAUGCACUUUGUCAGGCUGAAUAAAAAAGUAAGACACAGGUCAACACUGUUUACAAGAGAUGUACUUAAAAUAUUAACACACUGACAGGGUAAAGGUAAAAGAAUGGAAAAAGUUAUUUAUGCAAACACCAAAGAUAAGAAAGCUGGUGUGGCUAUGUUAAUAUCUGACACAGUAGAACAGAAGAUAAAGAUACUGGGUCACAGUGGUACAAAUGAUGUUAUGGACUGAAUUGUGUUCCCUCAAAAUUCAUAUACUGAAGUCCUAACCGCCGAUGUGACUGUACUUGGACACAGGGCCUUUGGGAAGGUGAUCAAAGUUAAAAGAGUUCCCAAGGACGGGGCCGAUAGGACUGGUUUCCUUAUAAGAAGAGAAGGAGACAGCAGAGAUCUCUCUCUCUGCACACAGGGAAGAAACGCCACAUGAGGACUCAGCGGGAACAUAAGCCGAGGAGAAAGCCCUUGCCCGGAGCCAACCCAGCUGGCACCUUGAUCUUGGACUUUGUAGCCUCCAGAUCUGUGAGAAAAUGAGUUUCUGUUGUUUAAGCCCCCCAGUCUUUGGUAUGCUGUUAAACCUCUUCCUGGUUUGCAGAAGAUCAUCUUCUUGUAUCCUCACGUGGCGGAGGGAGCAAGCUCUAGUCUCUUUCUCUUCUUAUAAGAUGCUAAUUCAUCAUGGGGGCUCCACCCUAAUGACCUCUUCUAAACCUAAUUACCUUCCACAGGCUCCAGCUUUUAAUAUCAUUCCGUUGGGGAGUUAGGGUUUCAACAUAUGAAUUUUAGGGGGACACAAACAUGCAGUCCAAAACAUACACACAUUCAUAUCGGCAUUUUCUUUUAAAUCUCUGUAUAUUGAAAAUUGAGUUCACACCAAUAGCUCUCAUUCCACUGGGUUUACUCUUGUUUUCUUCCCCCCCCUCGUAUUGCUGACUCCCGUCUCCAAUAGUAAGAAAUGUGGCUCCCCUUGUCCUUAGCACAUUGGUCCCUCAGCAUCCAUGGGGGAGCGGUUCCAGGACCCCUUUGGAUACCCAAAUCCAUGAUACUCAAGUGCCUUACACAAAAUAGUGUAGUGUUUUCCUAUAACCUAUGUAUAUCCUCUCAGAUUUUUAAAAUCAUCUCUUGAUUGCUUAUAAUACCUAAUACAAUUUAAAUAGUU
This is an RNA transcript of Microcebus murinus (gray mouse lemur), 2804 nucleotides long. It is a transcript of the gene named PRELI domain containing protein 3B pseudogene, with no coding region annotated. The record is from RefSeq and is a predicted model, not a curated record. NCBI's taxonomy places the organism in Eukaryota, Metazoa, Chordata, Mammalia, Primates, Cheirogaleidae.